This 21-nucleotide microRNA is filed under the name Homo sapiens (human). RNAcentral's name for it is "hsa-miR-4795-5p". The record is from miRBase by way of RNAcentral. Lineage: Eukaryota; Metazoa; Chordata; Mammalia; Primates; Hominidae.
AGAAGUGGCUAAUAAUAUUGA